AAUCGGGCCCUGUGCGACAGAUCGCUGUGAACCAUGUCAGGCGGGGAACCGAGCAGCAUUAAACGGAUGUAUCUGUGCGCCGCAGCAAGCCUGUUGUCC
This 99-nucleotide signal recognition particle RNA is filed under the name Clostridiales bacterium 43-6. RNAcentral describes it as "signal recognition particle sRNA small type". It matches the Rfam family "Bacterial small signal recognition particle RNA". Rfam says of the family: The signal recognition particle (SRP) is a universally conserved ribonucleoprotein involved in the co-translational targeting of proteins to membranes. Archaeal SRP consists of a 7S RNA and homologues of the eukaryotic SRP19 and SRP54 proteins. The record is from RNAcentral. Lineage: Bacteria; Bacillati; Bacillota; Clostridia; Eubacteriales.